RNAcentral lists this small nuclear RNA (104 nucleotides) under Aotus nancymaae (Ma's night monkey). The record is from RNAcentral. Lineage: Eukaryota; Metazoa; Chordata; Mammalia; Primates; Aotidae.
GUGCUCUCUUUGGCAGCACAUAUACUAAAAUUGGAAUGAUACAGAGAUUAGCAUGGCCCCUGAACAAGGAUGACACACAUAUUCAUGAAGUGCUCCAUAAUUUU